This 963-nucleotide ribosomal RNA is filed under the name Triticum aestivum (bread wheat). RNAcentral's name for it is "partial small subunit ribosomal RNA". Lineage: Eukaryota; Viridiplantae; Streptophyta; Magnoliopsida; Poales; Poaceae. The record is from RNAcentral.
AUGAAUAUCUUCAGGAAGUUUGGCUCAAGGAAGAACUACAAGGGUGUUAUUGGGAUGUCUUCUGACAGUGAUCUCCAACCUCAGAGGUUGGCGGAAGUACGGCCGUGCGAAUGGCCGCACAUCCCGUUCCUACAAGAGGCUGGAAUUUUUGAGGAGUUCAUGCAAUAUAUUGCUAAUGUCGACCUCACUGACUUCAUUGCACAUGAGUGUGAUCGGCACAAAAUACUCACAAACAUCUUUGUUCAAAGUUUUACUUUCCUGCCUAGGAAUAAUCCUCUUGAUGCGAGCUUUGAUUUAUAUGCUGAAAAUCAUCAGAUACCUCUUACUGAACUUUGCAACAUAUGCAUGAUCCCUUCUGAUGGGAGCUUGGCUGAGCCUAGGCCGGCUGAGUUUGAGGCCUUUUAUCGCACUUUGACGCUGGGAGAUGAGAGAGGAGUGUUGGCCACCACGGCUGCUAGCUUGCACUUUCCUGUUGUACAUUGUUUUGCUUUACUUGUUGCUAAGUGUUUGCUUGCUAGAAAGAAAGUAGGCGCGCUCAGUGCACUAGACUUUGUUGUUUUACGUCGGGCACUGGAGGGUGACAACACUUAUAGCUUGGGAGCUAUUGUGGCUCGCCGCAUGCAUCUUAAUAAAUCUCAGGGUCAACUACAUGGUGGGAUUUUUGCUACUCGUUUGUCGGCUCACUUUGAGGUUGAGAUACGCCCUCAUGACUACCCUCUGAGCAGGGUUUACCUAGAGCAAGCAGCCAUGGAUCACCACCAUUUUACUGAUGAUAGAUCUCCUAACAUCCCUAUUCCGUAUAACCUGGUUUUUAGUGUAAAGACUCGUGAUAUUAUUCCGUUGCCUGCUCCUGCUUUGUUUGAUCCUGUUGUCAGGGGCGGAUAUAGGAUUAUGCAUGCAGACAUCAUCGCCUACCGGAAUGCUGAGGCCGCUGGUGCGGCAGCACAGGAGGAGCCUCGGUAG